This is a non-coding RNA of Gasterosteus aculeatus aculeatus (three-spined stickleback), 1549 nucleotides long. The record is from RefSeq and is a predicted model, not a curated record. NCBI's taxonomy places the organism in Eukaryota, Metazoa, Chordata, Actinopteri, Perciformes, Gasterosteidae.
GUGGGGGCCCAUUUAGUUCUCUGUAUAAGCGCACGCAUUUCUUUGGUACUUGAACCGUGUGGGUUUCAAAACCGUGUUAUACUAUACAGGUCAUCAUUUAGCAUCAUUUAGCAUCCCCACGUAAUCUUUACUAUAACGUCAUGGCUCCAAAUCAAGCUUAGUCUCCAUAAUUGAUUGUUUGUCUCUUCUUAAAUUGAGCAGGCCAACAAAUGCCAGUUACACCUAAAAACUGUCUUCUCCAUCCAUAUAAAACAUAUUUAAGGGCCUCCUGGCGCAAUACAGUCCCCCUUUUCAGUGAGAAACCGAAGGGAAACGUUCAAAAGCCUGAAUGAAGAUUGUUAGAUAUGUUUGCAGUCAGCUCAGUUCAUGCGGUCUGUAAACAGUCUAAUGUCAGCAGAUGGUCUCUGUUUGCAACUGGAUCCCUUUUACAUUACACUUAGAUCGGUGCUACUAUCCACACACAGUUACGGCGCGAUUAUUAGUGUCUUCAGAGAGCUGGUGUUAAGUUUCGAAUGCAAUGACAGUUUUGUUACAACAACCAACUGAAUAAAGCUGAAAAUACAAGAGAAAGAAAACCAAGAAAAGGAUUAAUGGAAAAAUAAUGUUUGUAUAUAAAGGAAUAAACUAAAUAUUCUUGCCGUAAAAAAACCCCAGUGCUUGUAUUUUCUCUUUCCUCUCUCUUAAUUGCCUGGAGGGACCUCUGGCGAGAAUCUCCUGGCAUGACCUUUGGCCCCGGCUGACCCGCUCGCAACCACCAAUUGACCUCCAGCGCUCGUUUACUUUGCUGCGUGAACUGCAGAAGCGAACCGGGAUCGACACCUUCCGAGGCGUUAAUGAAAAGCAAGAGACACAACAGCUUCUGGUGCAAGUGCGCCGCCACACAGAGUCACCGAGGCGCCGUCCACGGCUACACGGAAAACUCACACGUGGUAUUAAGGACGCAGAAGCACUUGAACCCCAUUCCGCUUGCCGCUAAUUCACCCAUGUAAGAGGAUACGAGAGGGACCUUUAGGCUUUUGAGGGGACGAGAGUUAAAAACAGUCUAAUCACGAGUCGUCAUGGAGUGUGAAAAUGAGCUUAAUUGAUGUUAAUAGUCUCCUGGUAUUUAAAUUGUUGCAGCUUUGUUGCAAAGGGCAUGUUAUUCAAUUCAGUACAAUUCAAUGCAAGCCGACUGUAUAAUAAUCCAUUCACAGCUCAGCUGAAACUUAAAGGACAAAACAAAGCAAAAUACUAAUUUAUCAGAUCAAUGCCUGAUCAUCUCUGGUGCCGCCUCUCAAAAAUGAGAAUCAGCUUUUCUCUGUUGGCACUAAAAAAAGAUUUGAAUUAGAUUUUGAACUGUUGGCUUAACAAAACAAUCACAUCAGGCUUUGCCAUCACAUCUAUUUCAUUUCAUCACAAAUCAUCAAUGGAUCUUAAAGGGUUUCAUCUGAUCUAAUGUUCUACUAAAGUCAGUAAAGAGUGUAAAAUAAAAUGACUCAGUCAGAGAAUAAAACAGCUUUUGCUGAAAGCCAGCAGUGGGUGAGCCUCCACUGUUUGGCGUAUUCUCUGA